This 954-nucleotide unclassified non-coding RNA is filed under the name Hevea brasiliensis (rubber tree). The record is from RNAcentral. Lineage: Eukaryota; Viridiplantae; Streptophyta; Magnoliopsida; Malpighiales; Euphorbiaceae.
GAGAGAGAGAGAGAGAGAGAACCUACCUGUUGCAACAUCAACCUAGCUAAUUGGAUAAAAACAUGAUUUAAACUGAGAAUGAUUUUAGCCCUUUGCCGCCCUCACCAUGUUGGUAAAGUAAAAAUUUGAGGCAAAGAGAUUUCUCAGACACUAAAAGGGGAAAAAAUCACUGUUUAUGCAGAUAAAUUGGAUCAAAAUUUCCAAAUAAAUUUAAGCCAUAAAAGAAUGAUUUAUUUGUUUCUAAUAAGUCUCGCAAUAGAGUGAAGUGUAUAUUGAAAGAAAAAGAAGUAAUGGUAGUGAAGGAAAAGAAUAGUGCGGGAGGGUUGCAACAAGUGCAGCUUUUAAUUGAUUCCUGAUGGAAGAUUCUUAAGGAUCUUCCUAGCCAAUGCCCUGUGUUCCUCUUGACAAUGCUAACUCCACCAAUACCACCAUUUUCCCAUGCAACCACUGCAUACAGUAUUGCCAUCCUCAAAUAGAUAUUUUUCAUCUGCAUUUAUGCAUUAUAUCUUUUAUUUGGCAGUCACAUGGGAGACUUUUGUGUUGGGACUUGGAAUUUACAGGAGAGAGAUGGCAACAGCAAUGAAUGUUUCGGUCUCUCUCUCUCUCUCAGUAUAUUUACUUAGUUUAGGCAUAGAGAAGUGAUUUUGUGGGAUCAUGAUAGGAGUAUUCAAUCUGGAGUGUUUAACAUUGAUUACUUGGAUUUUAGUGAAAUAGACUCUUCAGAUAUUAAGAUCUUGAGAGCAUGUUAUUGCUAAUGGCUACUUUUGAAUAAAUGUUAGAAUGAAUUGUAUUUAGUAGUAGACAAUAGAAUUUUACAAUUUGAUUUUCACACUUCAAAAGCUAAUUUUGCAAAAAGUUUUUGAGCUUUUGCAAAUCACUGUUGAAAUGCAUUGGUAAACUUUUCUAAGUGUUCAAAUUCUUUUCAUACGCAUUUGGUAGCUAUGUGCAAUAGCA